This 385-nucleotide ribosomal RNA is filed under the name uncultured soil bacterium. RNAcentral describes it as "bacterial SSU rRNA". It matches the Rfam family "Bacterial small subunit ribosomal RNA", at positions 26 to 392 of the family's 1533-position model. The record is from RNAcentral.
AGGAUGAACGCUGGCGGCGUGCUUAACACAUGCAAGUCGAACGAUGAAGGCUGGAGCUUGCUCUGGCUGGAUUAGUGGCGAACGGGUGAGUAACACGUGAGUAACCUGCCCCAGACUCUGGGAUAAGCGCUGGAAACGGCGUACUAAUACCGGAUACGAGCUUCCACCGCAUGGUGAGGAGCUAGGAAAGUAUUUCGGUCUGGGAUGGACUCGCGGCCUAUCAGCUUGUUGGUGAGGUAAUGGCUCACCGAAGGCGACGGACGGGUAGCCGGCCUGGAGAGGGUCGACCCGGCCACACGUGGGACUGGAGACGACCGGCCCAGACCUCCGUACGGGAGCGAGCAGGUAGGGAAUUGUUAGACCAAGAAGUGGGCCGACAAGCCGU